Molecule: transfer RNA, 85 nt
Filed under: Felis catus (domestic cat)
Lineage: Eukaryota; Metazoa; Chordata; Mammalia; Carnivora; Felidae
Rfam family: tRNA
About the family: Transfer RNA (tRNA) molecules are approximately 80 nucleotides in length. Their secondary structure includes four short double-helical elements and three loops (D, anti-codon, and T loops).
Source: Rfam by way of RNAcentral
GCCUGGGUGGCUUGGUCGGUUAAGCGUCUGACUUCGGCUCAGGUCAUGAUCUCACGGUCCGUGAGUUCGAACCCCACGUCGGGCU